RNAcentral lists this long non-coding RNA (694 nucleotides) under Trifolium pratense (red clover). RNAcentral's name for it is "long non-coding RNA (TPRA_LNC002182)". The record is from RNAcentral. Lineage: Eukaryota; Viridiplantae; Streptophyta; Magnoliopsida; Fabales; Fabaceae.
AAUCUUCUAAAUUCGUAGGAAGACUAUUUUUUUUCUUAUAAAAAAGAUGACUAUGACUACAGUUAGCAACACAAAAAAAAUUGAUACUUAGUCAUUACAAAAAUCUAAUAGAUAAAAACUUAAGGUUCAGUUUAGAGUGUUUAGAGCGGUAGUUGAUAGUGUUAGUGAUUCAAGUUGUGAUCAUUUGUGGUGAUCAGUGGUGGUUUCUGAUGGUCGGAAUAGUGGUAAGAGUGGUGGCUUGAGUGUUGGUUAAAGUGGUAGUCGAUGGUGGUUGGAUUGGUGAUCAAGUUAGAUGAAGUGUUCAUUGGCAGUGUUAAUUUAGCUUUUAAGUCCUCCCUCACUUUCCUUUGAAAGCUCCGUAAUAGAUGGUUCAAUUACUUGGAGUUGACUAAAAUCAUGUAUUUUAGAGUGACUCACAUUUAUCGUGAAGAGAACUGUUGUGCAGAUAAAAUGGCUGCUUUAGGCAUCAAUGUUGAUGGUUUUAAUUGGUGGGAUAAUGUUCCGCCUAGUGUUCAAGGAGAUUAUAUUAGUAAUUUAAUGAGUAUUCCGUCUUUUAGAUUUCAUUAAAUUCAUUGCACUCUUUUUCCCUUAUCCUUGGUUUUAUCCCUUGGGGAUUUCCAGGAAAGAUUUUUAAUGAGACACUGACUGGCAGGUUCCUUGUAUUUUUUGUUUCCUUGGGUUUUGGUCUAGUCCC